This 253-nucleotide ribosomal RNA is filed under the name uncultured bacterium. RNAcentral describes it as "partial 16S ribosomal RNA". It matches the Rfam family "Bacterial small subunit ribosomal RNA", at positions 524 to 776 of the family's 1533-position model. The record is from RNAcentral.
UACGUAGGGGGCGAGCGUUGUCCGGAAUUAUUGGGCGUAAAGAGCGUGUAGGCGGUUCGGUAAGUCUGCCGUGAAAACCUGGGGCUCAACCCCGGGCGUGCGGUGGAUACUGCCGGGCUAGAGGGUGGUAGAGGCGAGUGGAAUUCCCGGUGUAGCGGUGAAAUGCGCAGAUAUCGGGAGGAACACCAGUAGCGAAGGCGGCGUCCUGGACCAACACUGACACUGAUGAGCGAAAGCCAGGGGAGCAAACGGG